GGGUGACGGGUCGGGCCGGGCGGUACCUGGCGGCCUGGGCGCUGCCCCAGUUCCUGCUGCUCACCCAGGGAGACCUGCAGGUGCUGAAGGCAGAGGCAGAGCAGCUGAUGCUGCAGGUGAGUGAGACCUUCCCAGAGCCGGGGGACAUUCACGGGGACAGCCCCUCGGAGCCACUCCCCAGCCUGGCAUCCCCGUGGGAGCUUCAGCUGUGCCGGCAGAUCCGUGACGUGGCCAACAACAUCCAGCUCUUCUCUGGGGACGUGCUCUGGAUGUUCUCCACCAGCUGCAAGCGGCUCUCGGCCGAGAUCUUCGACCAGACG
Molecule: long non-coding RNA, 320 nt
Organism: Ficedula albicollis (Collared flycatcher)
Lineage: Eukaryota; Metazoa; Chordata; Aves; Passeriformes; Muscicapidae
Exons: 3
Source: RefSeq, a predicted model, not a curated record